Molecule: long non-coding RNA, 1743 nt
Filed under: Gopherus agassizii (Agassiz's desert tortoise)
Lineage: Eukaryota; Metazoa; Chordata; Testudines; Testudinidae
Description: lncRNA (ENSGAGG00000017357.1)
Source: RNAcentral
CAAUAACUUCGAUUUCCGUCCAAACUAACCCUAAAUCGAUAUAGUAAUAUCGAUUUUAGGGUUACUCCUUUCGUUUAGCUGGAGUACAGAAAUCGAUUUUAAGACCCCUUAAAAUCGAUUUUAAGUGCCUUGUAGUGUGGACGGUUACAGCGUUAAAUCGAUUUAACGCUGUUUAAAUUGAUUUAACGCUGUAGUGUGGACCUGCCUCUGAAAGGAAACACAGUCAGGCACCGCCAGCCCAGCGCUGCUCCCCUCCAGGCGUAGCACGCAACAGCGAUCCGGCUGCAGCAGCUCCCCUGAAAUCCCAGCUCAGCAGGGCACGUGCAUGCGGCUGGGGCUGGGGCGGUCAUCCCCCAGGGGACACGCUGCCCCUCGCCAUAGCGCCAGGCUGUCAGCUAGGAGUGGGCAGUGCCAGAGCCUGCGCAACACCUGUUGGCAAUUUCACCUCCCAGCGUCACCCAGCCGAUUGGGUUUCAGGCUGUGAUUAAGGGCUUGGCCUCCGCUGAUUAACCCUUGCAGCGCGCCCACGGCUGCGGGGCUCGGCAGCUCUCAGCCGAGAGAAGCCGCCCGAGAUCGUCAGACAGCGGGAACUAAAGUUUUUCUCGCCCCCUCCAGUGUGUUUUCUCGCAGCUGCCUUCCGCAGCGGGGCCGAGCUGGAAAGGCACAGAACUUGGGCAGGAGGAAUUCAGUGUCCCUAAAAAUAGCCGCACUUCGAGAGACCCUGUGACUUCCCACUCUCCAGGGCGGGCGGCCCGCGGGCUGCCUUUCGCCGCUGACCCUUGUGAUUGCAACCAGCAUGCGCCUAACCCCCUCUCCCUGCGCCCGGAAGGCUGGGCUCGGCUGAGGGGUCUGGCCCCGACCUACUGGAGUGGGGAGGGCGCAGAAAAGCACCUGCUGAGGACAGGCUCGCGGCUUCUCCCGUGUUGGGGGCCUGCGAGCCUGGGCGAGGCGAGCUCCGCUAAUCGCGGGGUUGGACUGUUGGCGCUUCGCAACGCUCUCCAGCGCAAGGCGGCGCAGCGGCGGGGAGACUCCGCACCGGCCGAGGAGGAGGAAGAGGAGCGGGUGGUUUGUGUUUUAUCUUCUAGGAUCCCCCCCCCNNNNNNNNNNNNNNNNNCCCCCCCUUCCCCUCCCCGCCGCGGUUUCUCUCUGGGUCCGGCCGGCCGGCGAGCGCGAGUCUCCUGGGGGAACCUCUCCGAGCAAGCUGGGCUCUAUGAGCGGGAAGGUGAUCAAGCCCAAAGAAGAGAAAGAUGCUUCCAAGGGUAAGUCCGCCCGGCCGCCCGCCCGAGCCUGCUGCCUCGCAUGACCCCGGCUUGCUCCAUGCAUCGUGCGUCGCUCCUGGGGACCUUGGGGGGGGGGCACAGCACAACACCCCCCGGCCUGCUCUCGAUCCGAGGGGGCCCCGCCCCGGGGCGGUGUGAGAGCAGCAUCUCGCCGGGGGGCGCGCUGGGUGCUGCCCCUGCUCGCAUAGCAGCACCAAACGUCUGGACCAGGUGUCAAUAGUGUGUGUGAACGAGGGAUAAUUCGCUUCUGUGCUCGCAGCAAGAGCGGGGAGGCAAAUGGGCCCGCAGUGCUGGAUGCGUCGCCCGGAGAGGUCUCUCCCCCCGCGAUUGGAGCCGGAUUUGGGCUCGUUUUCAGUUCAGGUGCCCGGCCAGCUUGGGAGCGAUCCCCAAGGCCGCGCCCUCCCACCCCCCCGGACNCUGCUCUCUGGCCCCGGCUGCGAGCAGGGAGCCGAACCCCCCUGUG